UACGAUAAAUGUUUAUCUAUCCAAAAUCGUGACAUUUAUAAAUUCAUUUCAAUUGAUUAUAUCCAAUAAUAAUUCUAUUAAAUAAGAAGUGAAAUUUAUAACCAAGAAAAAUCCUUCAAAACAAAACACCGGCGUUCAGAGUCCGGCCGGGUUGUGUGAUGUUUUUGCAUAUGGUGCACACAUAUUCGUACUCGGGGUGCGUCUCCUUCCUCUGGUGGUACGAGAUCAGGUCCGCCUCGGCGUCACAGGUUCCGUGUACAAAUCUGCAAAACGCACCACGGUGUAAACACACGGUUCGUAAACAUAAAAAACAACAACAGCAGCAACAGCAGCACCGCUACCACCAAUGUUCGUAGCGUCGUGUCACCACACUAUAUUAUUGCGGAUAAUGACCAAGCGAUGGAAUACAUAAUUUGAGCGCAAAGAAAUUGAAUUGGAAUGUACGUAUUUAUCACGUUUGAGCAACGCUGUGUUGUAAAAUAGAUAAAAAUAAAUAAGCUUAUAAAUAAACGAAUAUUUAUGCCGUAAACCGUCAAGAUAAUCGCUGAUAUCGUUAUUAUUUCACACUGGAUACGUACGCUCCAUAAAAACUGUCGUGUUCUUAUGCGCCAGCCAGUUUUUGUGCGGUUUUAUUUUCGAAAUUUUGGUGCGUUCGAAUAAUAUGAACACAAUCCACAGGUUGUGUUGAAUUAUCUCAACGGGAGCCACAAACACGAAACAACUUACUUGCGACAAACAGUGCACUGCACCAUCUCCCUGUGGGCAUGCGCCCUGUACGCCCUGUGACAGAGCGGACAGGAGAAUCCCUUGUUCCGCUGCUGAUAGCAGGAAUCAC
Molecule: long non-coding RNA, 835 nt
Organism: Aethina tumida (small hive beetle)
Lineage: Eukaryota; Metazoa; Arthropoda; Insecta; Coleoptera; Nitidulidae
Exons: 4
Source: RefSeq, a predicted model, not a curated record